AUAUCAAUAAGCGGAGGAAAAGAAACUAACAAGGAUUCCCCUAGUAACGGCGAGCGAAACGGGAAUAGCCCAACGUGAAAAUCUCCCUUUGGAGAAUUGUAGUCUAGAGAAGUGCCCUCUGUAGCGGGCGGUGCCCAAGUCCACUGGAAAGUGGCGUCAAAGAGGGUGAGAACCCCGUCGGCGCCUGCUUAGCUACUCCACGAGGUGCUUUCCAAGAGUCGGGUUGUUUGGGAAUGCAGCCCAAAUUUGGUGGUAAAUCCCAUCUAAGGCUAAAUACCGGCACGAGACCGAUAGCGAACAAGUACCGUGAGGGAAAGAUGAAAAGAACUUUGAAAAGAGAGUUAAAAAGUGCUUGAAAUUGUUGAGAGGGAAGCGUUUGAAAGCUGCGGGUGCGCCUGGGCUCAUGUAUCUCUAACGAGCUGCUGUAUGUGCCAGGUGCUGGUCAGAAUGGGUUAAGCUGGCGGGAUAACAGCAGGGGUUGUUACCCUGCCUAUGCCGCCGGCUUGACCGAGGCGUGAGCGACGCCCCAGUCCUUUGGAUCUGCGUCGCAAAGAUUCUGGCGGAAGGCUUUCAAACGGCCCGUCUUGAAACACGGACCGAGGAAUGCAUCAUGUAUGCGAGUUGGUGGGUGGAAAACCCAUGAAGCGCAAGUAACCUGACUGGUGGGAUGGCCUGUGCCUGCACCAUCGACCAACCAUGAGCUUCUGCGAAAGGUUUGAGUGCGAGCAUACCUGGUGCGACCCGAAAGAUGGUGAACUAUGCCUGAGCAGGGCGAAGCCAGAGGAAACUCUGGUGGAGGCUCGUAGAUGUGCUGACGUGCAAAUCGCUUUUCGGACUUGGGUAUAGGGGCGAAAGACUAAUCGAACCAUCUAGUAGCUGGUUCCCUCCGAAGUUUCCCCCAGGAUAACUGGAGCUUGUAUCAGUUUUAUCGGGUAAAGCGAAUGAUUAGAGGUUCGGGGGAUGAAACAUCCUUCACCUAUUCUCAAACUUUAAAUAGGUAAGACGUGUACGUUGCUUGAUUGAACGUGCACACUCAAUGAGAGCUCCAAGUGGGCCAUUUUUGGUAAGCAGAACUGGCGAUGCGGGAUGAACCGAUAGUCGAGUUAAGGUGCCCAACUGCGCGCUAACCUAGAUCCCACAAAGGGUGUUGAUUGAUCCAGACAGCAGGACGGUGGUCAUGGAAGUCGAAAUCCGCUAAGGAGUGUGUAACAACUCACCUGCCGAAUCAAUUAACCCCGAAAAUGGAUGGCGCUGAAACGCGCGACCUAUACUCGGCCAUGGAGGCAAGUGCGAGGCUUCCAUGAGUAGGAGGGCGUGGAUGUUGUUGCGCAGCCUGAGGCGUGAGCCUGGGUGAAACAGCAUCUAGUGCAGAUCUUGGUGGUAGUAGCAAAUAUUCAAAUGAGAACUUUGAAGACUGAAGUGGAGAAAGGUUCCAUGUGAACAGCAAUUGGACAUGGGUUAGUCGAUCCUAAGAGAUGGGGUAAUCCUGUAUCAAGAGCGCAUUGCGCUGCCCAUCGAAAGGGAAAGGGGUUAAGAUUCCCCUACCUGGACAAGGCGGCUGACGGUAACGUAAGCGAGACCGGAGACAUCGGCAACGACCCUGGGAAGAGUUCUCUUUUCUUUUUAACAGCCCGAAGGCCCUGGAAUCGAAUCAUUCGGAGAUAGGGCUCAGAGGCUGGUAAAGCACCGCGCGUUACGCGGUGUCCGGCGCGCCGUUGACGGUCCUUGAAAAUCCGGUGGAGCGGCUACCGUCUUGCCANGUCGUACUCAUAACCGCAUCAGGUCUCCAANGUGAACAGCCUCUAGUCGAUAGAACAAUGUAGAUAAGGGAAUCGGCAAAAUGGAUCCGUAACUUCGGGAAAAGGAUUGGCUCUGAGGGCUGGGCCUAAGGGUCUGGGUCUUGAAGCUUCCGGCUGUAUUGGACUGCCAAGCUGCUUCGGUGGCGAAGCGGUCCGCUCGUGCCUGGAAUGGACGGGCUCAGAAGCUUCGGCGUUCCCUAGGCGACGAACAGCCAACUCAGAACUGGUACGGACAAGGGGAAUCCGACUGUUUAAUUAAAACAAAGCAUUGUGAUGGUCCUAAAGGAUGUUGACACAAUGUGAUUUCUGCCCAGUGCUCUGA
RNAcentral lists this ribosomal RNA (2121 nucleotides) under Sphaeroplea soleirolii var. crassisepta. RNAcentral's name for it is "eukaryotic LSU rRNA". It matches the Rfam family "Eukaryotic large subunit ribosomal RNA", at positions 40 to 2213 of the family's 3401-position model. The record is from RNAcentral. Lineage: Eukaryota; Viridiplantae; Chlorophyta; Chlorophyceae; Sphaeropleales; Sphaeropleaceae.